Molecule: ribosomal RNA, 253 nt
Filed under: uncultured bacterium
Lineage: Bacteria
Description: partial 16S ribosomal RNA
Rfam family: Bacterial small subunit ribosomal RNA
Source: RNAcentral
UACGGAGGGUGCAAGCGUUAUCCGGAUUUAUUGGGUUUAAAGGGUCCGUAGGCGGACUCAUAAGUCAGUGGUGAAAUCCUGCAGCUCAACUGUAGAACUGCCAUUGAUACUGUGAGUCUUGAAUUUGGUUGAAGUGGGCGGAAUAUGACAUGUAGCGGUGAAAUGCUUAGAUAUGUCAUAGAACACCGAUUGCGAAGGCAGCUCACUAAGCCUGGAUUGACGCUGAUGGACGAAAGCGUGGGUAGCGAACAGG